This 197-nucleotide ribosomal RNA is filed under the name uncultured bacterium. RNAcentral's name for it is "partial 16S ribosomal RNA". It matches the Rfam family "Bacterial small subunit ribosomal RNA", at positions 328 to 539 of the family's 1533-position model. The record is from RNAcentral.
ACGCUCGACACCUACGGAGGCAGCAGUGGGGAAUAUUGCACAAUGGGGGAAACCCUGAUGCAGCGACGCCGCGUGGAGGAAGAAGGUCUUCGGAUUGUAAACUCCUGUUGUUGGGGAAAAAGAGGAUGGUACCCAACAAGGAAGUGACGGCUAACUACGUGCCUGCAGCCGCGGUAAUCUGAGCGGGCUGGCAAGGC